Molecule: ribosomal RNA, 242 nt
Filed under: uncultured bacterium
Lineage: Bacteria
Description: partial 16S ribosomal RNA
Rfam family: Bacterial small subunit ribosomal RNA
Source: RNAcentral
AAUGAACGCUGGCGGCGCGCCUAAUACAUGCAAGUCGAGCGAGAAGACGUAGCAAUACGUUUGUAAAGCGGCGAACGGGUGAGGAAUACAUGGGUAACCUACCCUCGAGUGGGGAAUAACUAGCCGAAAGGUUAGCUAAUACCGCGUACGCUUCUUGGACUUCGGUUCAGGGAGGAAAGCGAUGCCGAGGGUAUCGCGCUCUUGGAUGGGCUCAUGUCCUAUCAGCUUGUUGGGAGGUACGC